UUUCAGGUGACUGAGUAAAAUAAGUAUUAGACUUUUAAUCUAAAAACGACGCCUUUCGUCCCUGGAAA
RNAcentral lists this transfer RNA (68 nucleotides) under Tylomelania sarasinorum. RNAcentral's name for it is "tRNA-Lys". The record is from RNAcentral. RNAcentral also lists the same sequence under 1 other name. Lineage: Eukaryota; Metazoa; Mollusca; Gastropoda; Pachychilidae.